Molecule: ribosomal RNA, 880 nt
Filed under: Salmonella enterica
Lineage: Bacteria; Pseudomonadati; Pseudomonadota; Gammaproteobacteria; Enterobacterales; Enterobacteriaceae
Description: partial 23S ribosomal RNA
Rfam family: Bacterial large subunit ribosomal RNA
Source: RNAcentral
AGUGUACCCGCGGCAAGACGGAAAGACCCCGUGAACCUUUACUAUAGCUUGACACUGAACAUUGAGCCUUGAUGUGUAGGAUAGGUGGGAGGCUUUGAAGUGUGGACGCCAGUCUGCAUGGAGCCGACCUUGAAAUACCACCCUUUAAUGUUUGAUGUUCUAACGUGGACCCGUUACCCGGGUUGCGGACAGUGUCUGGUGGGUAGUUUGACUGGGGCGGUCUCCUCCUAAAGAGUAACGGAGGAGCACGAAGGUUGGCUAAUCCUGGUCGGACAUCAGGAGGUUAGUGCAAUGGCAUAAGCCAGCUUGACUGCGAGCGUGACGGCGCGAGCAGGUGCGAAAGCAGGUCAUAGUGAUCCGGUGGUUCUGAAUGGAAGGGCCAUCGCUCAACGGAUAAAAGGUACUCCGGGGAUAACAGGCUGAUACCGCCCAAGAGUUCAUAUCGACGGCGGUGUUUGGCACCUCGAUGUCGGCUCAUCACAUCCUGGGGCUGAAGUAGGUCCCAAGGGUAUGGCUGUUCGCCAUUUAAAGUGGUACGCGAGCUGGGUUUAGAACGUCGUGAGACAGUUCGGUCCCUAUCUGCCGUGGGCGCUGGAGAACUGAGGGGGGCUGCUCCUAGUACGAGAGGACCGGAGUGGACGCAUCACUGGUGUUCGGGUUGUCAUGCCAAUGGUACUGCCCGGUAGCUAAAUGCGGAAGAGAUAAGUGCUGAAAGCAUCUAAGCACGAAACUUGCCCCGAGAUGAGUUCUCCCUGAGACUUAGAGUCUCCUGAAGGAACGUUGAAGACGACGACGUUGAUAGGCCGGGUGUGUAAGCGCAGCGAUGCGUUGAGCUAACCGGUACUAAUGAACCGUGAGGCUUAACCUUACAACGCCGAAG